Molecule: ribosomal RNA, 326 nt
Filed under: Bacillus cereus group sp. N21
Lineage: Bacteria; Bacillati; Bacillota; Bacilli; Caryophanales; Bacillaceae
Description: partial 23S ribosomal RNA
Rfam family: Bacterial large subunit ribosomal RNA
Source: RNAcentral
GGUUAAGUUAGAAAGGGCGCACGGUGGAUGCCUUGACACUAGGAGUCGAUGAAGGACGGGACUAACGCCGAUAUGCUUCGGGGAGCUGUAAGUAAGCUUUGAUCCGAAGAUUUCCGAAUGGGGAAACCCACCAUACGUAAUGGUAUGGUAUCCUUACCUGAAUACAUAGGGUAAGGAAGACAGACCCAGGGAACUGAAACAUCUAAGUACCUGGAGGAAGAGAAAGCAAAUGCGAUUUCCUGAGUAGCGGCGAGCGAAACGGAAUCUAGCCCAAACCAAGAGGCUUGCCUCUUGGGGUUGUAGGACAUUCUAUACGGAGUUACAAA